AAUUUCCUCUCUCCAUCCACCCCUGUUGUUCAGGCUUCCCUACAGCUGCCAUUUAUAUAACUCCCAAACUUCUGGAAUUGCAAUCCUGCCUUUGUGUCAUCGUCGUCAUCAUCAUCACAACCACCACCACCACCACCACCACCAUCAUCAUCAUUUCAUCAGAAUGUGAAGUGCACAUGUGAUUAAAGUUUUAACCUAGGAGUUUAUAUUUGUUCACAAUAUCAUGUCAUAAAAUACUCACUACCUCUUAAAUGGAAUCAGAAUGAUAUCUGCCAUAAUGGGGUAUAGUUCCAGUGGGCACCAAAUUACAUCUUAGAGAUUUUGUUAGUUGUCUUUUAUGUAACAAAUGUAAAAUUGUAGUGCAGGUACUGGCAGACUCUAUAAUUCAGCUGUCUGGUACUUUAUCAUUGCUCUCAGUAGGUCUCUAAUGAAUAAUUCUGUAUGCAUGUUACUGACUGAUAAUCAAACUCUGAACAAUUCCUAAUUGGGUUUUUUCAGGGUGCGGAGAAGUGCCUAUAUUAGCUUGGCAGAUGUCCCAAACAAUGUAAAAUGAAAAGCACAAACAUAACAGAUUUCUCUUCCUUUUAUUCUGUGGAAAAUUGUAAGUGAUUUUUUCUGAGUUCCAAGAAUAUAAAAAAGAAAGUAGCACCAGUGUGCAUUGUUGUAUAAAGUACUCACACGGGCCAAGAAAAAAAAAAGAAUAGAAUUAAAUGCAAGAAUAAAAUGAUCGCUACAUGCUAUAUCCCCCCACCCCACCCCUUUAGACCAGUAUGAAUCAGAGGUAACUUUACAAGAUACUAAAGACAUUUGCAUAGAAAUUGUUCCAUUGUGGUUGUGGCCUAGCUAGAUAUUUAUCAUAAAAAUGAUCAGAAUGGCAUCCCACCAGUAACAGUUUAAAGAGUUCACUUGAUUUUUAAAAAAUAAUUUAAACUAAUUAAGACCUUUGUUAAAAUAAGAUUUUUUUGAGACCCUUUAGGUCUUUCAACAUAAGAACUUGGAAAAAUCCAAGGAUGGGUUGUUGUUGUUGUUUUUUCAAUUUCAGGGCCACACAUUUCCAAA
Molecule: long non-coding RNA, 1059 nt
Filed under: Anolis carolinensis (green anole)
Lineage: Eukaryota; Metazoa; Chordata; Lepidosauria; Squamata; Anolidae
Description: lncRNA (ENSACAG00000041112.1)
Source: RNAcentral